AUUGAACGCUGGCGGCAUGCCUUACACAUGCAAGUCGAACGGCAGCACGGGAGCAAUCCUGGUGGCGAGUGGCGAACGGGUGAGUAAUGUAUCGGAACGUGCCUAGUCGUGGGGGAUAACGUAGCGAAAGCUACGCUAAUACCGCAUACGAUCUACGGAUGAAAGCGGGGGAUCGAAAGACCUCGUGCGAUUGGAGCGGCCGAUAUCAGAUUAGGUAGUUGGUGGGGUAAAGGCCCACCAAGCCAACGAUCUGUAGCUGGUCUGAGAGGACGACCAGCCACACUGGGACUGAGACACGGCCCAGACUCCUACGGGAGGCAGCAGUGGGGAAUUUUGGACAAUGGGCGAAAGCCUGAUCCAGCAAUGCCGCGUGCAGGACGAAGGCCUUCGGGUUGUAAACUGCUUUUGUACGGAGCGAAAAGGUCUUCUCUAAUACAGGGGGCUCAUGACGGUACCGUAAGAAUAAGCACCGGCUAACUACGUGCCAGCCGCCGCCGUAA
This 500-nucleotide ribosomal RNA is filed under the name uncultured bacterium. RNAcentral describes it as "partial 16S ribosomal RNA". It matches the Rfam family "Bacterial small subunit ribosomal RNA", at positions 30 to 523 of the family's 1533-position model. The record is from RNAcentral.